CAGUCUGAAAAAAAAUAUUAAAUAAACUAAAACUUUCAACAACGGAUCUCUUGGUUCUGGCAUCGAUGAAGAACGCAGCGAAAUGCGAUAAGUAAUGUGAAUUGCAGAAUUCAGUGAAUCAUCGAAUCUUUGAACGCACAUUGCGC
RNAcentral lists this ribosomal RNA (146 nucleotides) under Macrophomina phaseolina. RNAcentral describes it as "5.8S ribosomal RNA". The stretch from base 31 to 146 matches the Rfam family "5.8S ribosomal RNA", at positions 1 to 116 of the family's 154-position model. From Rfam's summary of the family: 5.8S ribosomal RNA (5.8S rRNA) is a component of the large subunit of the eukaryotic ribosome. It is transcribed by RNA polymerase I as part of the 45S precursor that also contains 18S and 28S rRNA. The record is from RNAcentral. Lineage: Eukaryota; Fungi; Ascomycota; Dothideomycetes; Botryosphaeriales; Botryosphaeriaceae.